AGAGAGAGAAAGAGGGGAGAGGCAUUCUUUAAGUCGAAGGCAGUGCUUAUGGCAGCAAUGCAGCAAGGAAAUACCAGACGCCCUGCCUCUUUAAUCGGCUUAAUAUCCACCACAAAUACACAAACAACAGCAGGUUACUUUCUCUUCUCACCGGCCUGGCCUUACCUUCUCCCACACAGAGACAGUGCAAGCCUUGAAGACUAGUUCCCUCAUGUCCAGACAAGUAGCAGGUAGUAAACAGCAAUGGUGAUUUUCUUCUCUGAAAUGGUGCCACGCCACUGCUGAGUGAAUACAGAGAGAGCGGUGUGAUGCUGAAGCCCAUGGCCAUCACGACAGGCCAGACUGUAGAUGUAGGUGGCUGGUGUCAGCAGGCUCGGAAACACCUGACCCUGGAGGAGACUGGAAAGGACUCUCUCCCUCUCUCUGCUAUCUUUGAUGAGGCUGCGAUAAACGUUUAUCUUAGAAUCAUAAGUGUACCGUUAUCUGGUAAAGUAAAGGCCCAGCCACUGACUACAUACAGUGCUGUGUGUGUACGUAUGUUUGUGUGUGUGUUUGCCCUUGUCUGUGUGCGUGCUGGCACCAGAAACACCCUGCUUGUUAAAUCAUGCCAUACAUCCCCGCCAGCUCC
This is a long non-coding RNA of Dicentrarchus labrax (European seabass), 628 nucleotides long. RefSeq lists it as uncharacterized. The transcript has 3 exons. The record is from RefSeq and is a predicted model, not a curated record. Lineage: Eukaryota; Metazoa; Chordata; Actinopteri; Moronidae.